Molecule: non-coding RNA, 93 nt
Filed under: Chlorocebus sabaeus (green monkey)
Lineage: Eukaryota; Metazoa; Chordata; Mammalia; Primates; Cercopithecidae
Description: Mitochondrial DNA control region secondary structure A
Rfam family: Mitochondrial DNA control region secondary structure A
Source: Rfam by way of RNAcentral
CUCCAGCCUGGGCAACAGAACAAGGCCCUGUCUCAAAAAAAAAUAUAUAUAUAUAUAUAAUAUAUUACUGCUAGCCAACAUGAAUAUUAUAUA